RNAcentral lists this transfer RNA (73 nucleotides) under Canis lupus familiaris (dog). It matches the Rfam family "tRNA". From Rfam's summary of the family: Transfer RNA (tRNA) molecules are approximately 80 nucleotides in length. Their secondary structure includes four short double-helical elements and three loops (D, anti-codon, and T loops). The record is from Rfam by way of RNAcentral. RNAcentral also lists the same sequence under 1 other name. Lineage: Eukaryota; Metazoa; Chordata; Mammalia; Carnivora; Canidae.
GCCUGGCUGGCUCAGUUGGUAGAGCAUGCAACUCUUGAUCUCAGGGUUGUGAGUUCAAGCCCCACAUUGGGUA